GACGAACGCUGGCGGCGUGCUUAACACAUGCAAGUCGUACGGGAAGGCCCUUUCGGGGGUACAUGCGUGGCGGACGGGUGAGUAACUAAUAAGUAAUUUGCCUACCAUUUUGGGAGAACGCCAGGAAACUGAUGCUAAUAAUGGCUAUGUACUCCUGCUUACUGGUGGGGGUUGGAAAGCACUGGCGGUUGUGGAUGGAAUAGCGGCCUAUCAGCUUGUUGGUGGGGUGGUGGCUUACCAAGGAGGCGACGGGCAGCCGGCCUGAGUGGGUGACCGGCCACAUUGGGACCGAGAAACGGCCCAGACUCCCACCGGAAGCAGCAGUGGGGAAUAUUGCACAAAUGGCGCAAGGCUGGAGCAGCAACGCCGCGGUCCGGAAGACCGGCUUCGGGUUGUAAACCGCUUUCAGCAUGUACAGAGGCUUUUGUGACGGUACCUUCAGAAGAAGCACCGGCUAACUACGUG
This 465-nucleotide ribosomal RNA is filed under the name uncultured bacterium. RNAcentral's name for it is "partial 16S ribosomal RNA". It matches the Rfam family "Bacterial small subunit ribosomal RNA", at positions 28 to 507 of the family's 1533-position model. The record is from RNAcentral.